GGUGUUUCUUCCAGAUCAGCCUCCUUUUCAUUCCAACUCUACGUGCCCAGAGCUUCAAAUACAGCCCUCCCAUCACAGUCAGACUCUCACAAAACUUCAAUCAGCUGCUUCUCCUCCUGGAAGAGAACCUGGAUGGGAGGAAGCUGGAAGGUGGGAAAGAAGAGGUGUGGAGUCAGCUGCAUCUGGCCUGGAUUCCAGUUCUGCUGUCUAUUUGCUGUGUGGUCCCAUGCAGGGAUUUGACUUCUCUGGGCUCAGCCUCAUCUCGGCCACCUCACCUCUGAUGGGAUGGCCUCAGUGGAGAGGUUCCUCUGUCACACCCUCCCUCCUGGUGGAUUGAAACCGUGCGCAAACCAACCCUUCUCUCCUUCGGCUGUUUCACCAGUCCAAAAGAGGGCUUGUAUUUCUUGGAACCCGAGUUACAGACAGUUGUGAGCUGUCACGUGGGUGCUGGCCCAUACCCGGGUUCUCCAGAAGAGCAGCCAGUGCUCUUAACCACUGAGCUGCCUUCUCCAGCUCCUGAACCUCGAAUUUCCAAUCCUCCUGCCUUCAUCUCCCAAGGGCUGGGAUUCCAGGCAUGUACCACCACACCUGGUUUUCAGAGUUGCUGGUGGAUAAAAACCCAGAGCUUCGAGCACACCAGGCAAGCACUCUGCCUGAAAUGCUCCCUCUUUCUCAGGAUUGGAACAGAACAAAGCUCCACUGAUACAUCAUUGAUUUGAAAAGGGUGGGGGCAAAGGAGAAGUGGAGAGCUCACAGCAAAGUCUUAGCAGCUUACUUGCUGUGAUGGGCUGGGCUCCAGGAAACCUUCACUUCAUGCUAAUACCUUCACCCACAAACCCUUGGCGGAAGUUCUGUCAUAUUGGUCACUUUAUACAUGCACAGCUCAAAGCACAGAGAGAUUAAACAGGGUGCCCAAGGUCACACAGCUAGGAUGUAACAGACUUGAGAUUCUUGCUCUGAGCUUCUCCCGCUGUAGGACUCCAUAUUCAGGAAUCAUUGAUUGUGUCCUGGGUAUGCUCUUCUCUCCCGCUCUAGAAGCCUCGGUAGCAAUUGGGGCUUGAGGGUGGUAACCAGGCCAAACCUAAUAUCCCGCAAAUGUUAUAACUGUAGUCUGCACACUGCACUCUGCCUGUCUUAAAGUGUUGGCCAGUACACAAUCGGAGCUCCAAAGUGUGGAGAGCCUGUGUGAGCUCUUCCUCUUCUGCCCUGUGCAGAGUGGAGUGAUGAGGAGUGUGAACUGAACAGGUUCCUUCCUCCUGAGCUUGGCUCUUGUGCUUAGCCCAGGCUUGCUCUGCUCUAAGAGGCUUCUGUGAACCCUGGGAGGCCAUCGUGAGGUGGUGGUGGACAGAGGGUUUGAGCCCCAAAGGCUUGCAGGAAGGUGCUUCUCAUUCUCAGAGCCUCAUUUUCUUCACUGGGGCAACUGUUGGGUUCAGUAAGGGUUACUUAUAGUAGGCCCCAGGACUGCGAGACUGAGAGGGUCCUCCAGGGAGGACAGCAGUGUUUCUCUACACAGCACUCGAGAUGUAGCUGUGGACUCUGACCCAUGCUAUUACCCCCAGCCUACGCUUCUUAGCAGCCAGCUCUCAACAGAGGUCAGGCACACCCCUCUUCCUCUCUGACAGGCUUGCUGGAUUUCUGCAUCCUCUACAUCCCUCUUAGUCCUUACUUGUGACAUACAGGCCUACUACUGUUAGAUAGCCACCAACUGGCUCGAGCCUGCAGGUGUGCCCCCUUUUAGUCUGUGCUGUUCUUGCUUCUGCACUCACCUCCUCUCUUCAUACACAUCUCUCAUGUCUCAUUCAUGUCCUUGUUGACAGCUUUGUUUUUCUACACAUGCACAUUCCCAAAACACAUACAAGAGUCACAGCCAUGGAGUCAACCUCACAGACCCAUACAUGUCCGCAGGGAUCACAGGACACACUGGCACUUCAUCUCUCUUUCCCCAUUCAAACAACCACACUAGUAGGACUCUCUCUAGGGCUGUAGCAUCCUUGGGACCAGUCUUUUUGUUUGUUUGCUUGUUUGUUUAAUGGUUUUUUGAGACAGGGUUUCUUUGUGUAGCUCUGGCUGUCCUGGUUCUCAUUCUGUAGAACAGGCUGGCCUUGAACUCAGGGAUCCUCUGCCUCUGCCUCUGCCUCUGCCUCUGCCUCUGCCUCUGCCUCUGCCUCUGCCUCUGCCUCUGCCUCUGCCUCUGCCUCUGCCUCUGCCUCUGCCUCUGCCUCUGCCUCUGCCUCUGCCUCUGCCUCUGCCUCUGCAGUGCUGGGAUUAAAGGAUACAACACCACAGCCUGGCUCGGGUCCAGUCUUAAGAUGGCAGAAGAUCAUUUCUCACAGUGAUGAGUGAGUGCCCUGAUUUCUCCGAGGAAUCUUUCCUCACCCAUAGACACUCACUUUAUUUCCGGUUUUUUAUCCUCUGCUCUAAACAGUGCUACAGCAACAUUCAUGUGCUCUCACUCUCCAACCAGGGCUUUUAUCUCCACCAAACACAAUUCCAGUCUCUGGUUCCUCUAUGGAAGGGCACAUGUAUUUUUUAUGCUAGACAAUGUUGCUAGGUGGCUCCACGGAAAACCUUGUAACACUUCACACUCUCCUCAGCAACCUGAGAGCCAGCUCUUCCCUUUCGGUCACUCCAGCGGGCCACGCUAGCACUGCUUAGCAUUUUUCCACGGGUGAUGGAGGCAACAUGAAACUUCACGGUCCCUAUAAUUUCAACUUCUUGUAAACUUUGUUCAUCUUUAAUAUGUGAGUUGACCACUUAGUCGUGUGCCAUGCCUGGCCUAGAAUCAUCUCUGCCCAACUCCAAUCCUCCUUGAUCAUUAGGAGUAGGCAGCUACUCUUUGCAUGCACGGGCACUAGCUUUUUGUGUCGCAACUGUGUUGCAAACAGUUUUAUACCCGAAUUGCUACUUUUCGUAUUGACUUUAUAAACGUUCUCUGUUGUCAUAAAAGUAAUGCUUGUGUAAUGAAAUGUCCUUUUAAAAUUUAUUUUUUCAAUAAGAAGUUUAUUGUAAGGUGGUGAUUGGGGGUGAUAUAUGCAUGUGUGUGCAUCCGUGGGGGCCAGAAGAGGGAGUAGGGAGGCCUGCCCCCACCCCCCCCCCAUCUUACUGACUUGAGGCAGGGUUUCCUUCCAGCCAGAAGCUGGAACAUUUUGGAGGCUGUUCUAGGGACCCUCCUGUCUCUGCCUCUUGCCUCUCGCCUCCGCCUCCGCCUCCGCCUCCGAGAUUAGGAAUAUGUGAGACCACACCUGUCUUUCCAUGGGUGCUGGGUAAUUCAGCUCAGGCCCUCAAGCCUGUGUGGUAAGCAUUCUGAUUCCCUGAGUCAGCUUCCCAACUCUGUGUCUUUCUUUUGAAACAUUACUUUUUUGAUACCCGAGACUUUUUUUUUUUGCCAGCUCCAACAUUUUCUUUCAUGAUAUCUAUUGCUUUAAAAAAUGUUUUUGGCUGUUAGCUCUCCAGUCCUCCCGGGGUUUACGUGUAUAAUGUAACAUGAGAUUUUAACCUGCUUCCAAAAGAUAGCGGCUUGCACAGGCAUCAUUAAUAAACAAUGUCUCCUUUUCCCAUUGGAUUGAAAAAGCAGCUCUGUUGUGUGUCUGAGGCUCCUGAAGGCACGGCUCUAAUUCUGUGCUGUCUUCGUCCUGCUCCGUGGACCACUUCCUCAUCAACACCCUUCAGGCUGUAUUUUUAUUUUCCAUGUGGUCUAGCUGUCCCUCAUUCUUCCUUCCUUGACACCAACCUAGACUGGUUGUAUUAAGUUGGGUCUGACUUCUCAUGGUAUCCUGGUAUCUAAACAGACUGAGCUUUCUGUCAGGGAGCAAAUAUGUCUGGAUGUCCUUGCUGCCCUCUCCUCUCCUCUCCUCUCCACUCCUCUCCUCUCCUCUCCUCUCCUCUCCUCUCCUCUCCUCUCCUCUCCUCUCCUCUCCUCAGAACCACUCAUUCUCCACCCUGAGAGCUGUAGCUAUUAAACCAGUGCUGUCUUCCAUUCCAGUGUACCAUCAACACACACACACACACACACACACACACACACGCACGCACGCACACACACACGUGCGCGCACAGAGAGAGAGAGAGAGAGAGAGAGAGAGAGAGCGAGCAGUGUAACCAGGCAAGCAGGGGCAGACCCUCUAGCACGGUGGUUCUCAACUUGCAUGAUGCUGUGACCCUUUAAUGCAGUUCCUCAGGUUGCGAUGGUGACCCCCAAGAAUAUAAUUAUUUUGUUGCUACCUCAUAACUGCAAUUUUGCUACUGUUAUGAAUCCUAAUGUAAAUGUAUGAGAUGCUGGCUAUCUUAUGUGUGAGCCCCCAAGGGGUCUUAACUCACAAGUUGAGAACCGCUGUAUUAAACAGUAACUCAAAGUAGCCAGUGUGUAGAUGGUCAGAGAUCAAAACGGCCCACAAAACAGAGAUGAGUUUGGGGUGAUGAGAGCUGGAAGCUUGUCACACUGGAGCUUCGACACCCUGCCCCCACCUGGACACCCCCUCGGCUAACCCUUCUCUGAGGUGUUAAGAUACAGAGAUGGCUAAGGCAGACAUAAGUCAGUUUCAGGUUUCAACAAUGGUAGGAUGUAUUAUUAUUUUUUUGAUGUGAAAACAAUAUUGUGCCUAUGUUUUUAAAAGGGACCCAGCUGGGCAUAAUUGGACUCACCUGUGAUCCCAGUACUCAGGAAGUUGAGGCAGGAGGAUCUCACAUUCCAGGCUAGCUGGGCUAAAUAAUGAGAUUCGCCCUCCCUCACAAAUAAAGCACACUAAACCAACACCCUCCCUCCCUUUAUUUUAGGGGAACUUGCCGAUUGUCUAACGAUAUGACGACAUUUGAAAUCUCCUUCUAAAUAACCUAGGUGGGGGCACCGGGGAAGGGAGGAUGAGGUGAGAUAGGCCACGGCUUGACUGUUCUGGGAGCUUGGUGGUGAGUUAGCAGUGAACUGUAAUAUUUUCCCUAAUGUAUACCUGAGAUAGCCUGUACUAAAAAGCUUAGGGCUGGGAUGUCGCUCAGUUGAUCGAGGACUUUCCUACUGUGCCCAAGUUCCCAGGUUCAAUGCCCAGCACUGUGAACACGAUGUGUGGUCUUCUUAGCCUCUGGGAGGCGGAGGCAGGAGGCUCAGAAAGAAGGUCAAAGUCGUCCUGGGCUACGGAGGGAGUUUGAAGCCAACUUGGGCUACACGACACCCUGUCUUAAAAACAAAGAGAGUUUUAAAUAUGCACACAGAGGCCAGCAAGAUGGCUUCACUGGUGGAAAAAUGCUCAAUGCUAAGCUAGUUCAAUCCCUGGAACCCACAUGGCAGAGGGAAAGAGCUGACUUCUACAAACUGUCUUCUGACCUUCACAAAUAGACUGUGGACUGUGCAUAUGCACACACACACACACACACACACACACACACACACACACACACACACACACAAAAUGCACAGAGGACAGCCAUAUUCUAGGCUUUGUUGGAUCUGCCUUGACUCCAGUCAUUUAUCAGAUGCUCAAAAUGGACCCCUGAGGGGGGUAAUUUCAUGGAUGAGAAGAGCUAGGCCCAUGGGGUCUGGUUCCUGCUCCAGGCCGAGGUGGAUGAGUGGCAUAGCUCACUCACCGGUACCUCAUCCCCCCACCCCCAAGCCUAUGAGGGCAGCACUGGCUGUAGUAGAUUGUUUCUGACAGUACCGUGUGGUCAGGGCUGGGAGAAGGAUGCUGGGUGUGAGCAGGCUCCCAGAAGUCCAUGCGCUGGAAACAGUGUGCAUGACGGGGACCAGAGGAAGGUGCUGGGAGGUGCGGGGCUAAAUGUUUCUCUCACAGGAGUUGGGAAGGUCUCUUGAGAUUUCGGCCUUUCUGGGCCUUUCUGAUGCCUGUCAUUGGGAUAGUAGACUUCCCAGCCACUCGAACCAAAACAAAAGCUCUUUUCUUGUAAAUGAUCUCAUCUCCAGUGUUCUGUCACAGCAACAGACAAGUGGCCUGAGACACAGGAAGAAGUAGAUGGGAGGGGAGGUGGCCAGAGAAAGCCCCCCUGUGUUGAGACCGAAGGGAAGAUGAGGAGGCUGUCAGGACGACUUGGGACGAUGUUCAGGUGUGUGUGUGUGUGUGUGUUUGUGUGUGUGUACCCCGGGGACAGACUGAGAAACAGGAAGCAGUUGGUAGACAGAGCUGGGAUGAGUGGCGAGGAGCCAUGCACACAGCCCGCUGUGCUGAGAACCGAGGGAAGAUGUUACAGGUUAGGAAUGUGAACUAAGACAUGUGAAGGAGACCCUGACGAUUUAUCGGAUUUAUAAACUCACGGUUGUUUAAAUACAUCCCUCUUCAUUUUGCCACGCGAAAUUCAUCUACAACAGAGGAGUAAUUUAAUUCUGAUGCUAAAUUAACUGUUCUUUGCCUCUCCACAAGGCCACAUGCUUUUGGGUUUUCUUCCUUUUCUUUCUUUCUUUUUUUUUUGCAUAACUUAAUUCAAUUUUUCGGCUUUUGCCACAAUUUCUUCAGCUCCUACGCACUUUUGAGGGCGGUUAUAGUGUUAUUAUCUUAUUAUUAGUCACUAACUGGAGAUAAUCCACUUUUCCAAUUGAUCUAUGCUGCUUGAAAAUGCCUGCCCCACAGGCAGGUUUGCAAGUUUUGAGAGCUGGAGGAGACACGAACGUGACCAGAGACAUUGACCUUCUGGCUGCAGUGACCUGUGGUCAAGUUUCAAAGGGACAUCGUGAGGCAAAUUGUCAAGGUCACUGGCAGGGUCAAGUGCCUGCAUCAACUCUCCAGUUGUGUGUGCUUAGCAGGUGACACAGUUCCUGCCACUCUCUAUCCGUUCUGAGUUUACUUCUGCCAGUAUUGAGUACAAAUAGAUGUGCAGUUGGACCCUCUCCUCAUACAAUCUGCAGACGGAAUCUCUCUACAUCCAGCCUAUGGAUGAACCCUCUCUAUACAUACGCUAUGGAUAUGCCUUGGAAGAAGGUGCCUAGAUCACCCACGAAUCUGGGGAGGUACCUGGAGUGUUCACUGUGGGUGAGCAAGGAAGGUUUGGGGUGCAAACAGCCGUGGAGCUCACUUAAGGAAGGAUCUCCCCUGAAUCUGUGUGCUGGAACAGAGAAGGAUGAGGUCAGAGCAUUCAGUGGACUCAAAGGAAAAUCAAUGAAUAAAGUGUGUUCCUGCAAUCACCAGGAAGGACAGGCUGUGUGUGGAUGAGCGUCUUCCUGCUGUCAGCUGCUUUUCUUUUUCAUGCUGACAGUGUCGGACAAGCUCUGGGAUUCAUCACAACAAGCAGAGAAGAGGGAAAUGGACAAGAGCUCCUGGUUGGGGCUUAGGGAGAUUCAUGGAGUGUUGGGGGAACCCUGAGGGUGAUAUGGGAGGUGGAGGGACAGAGAAGUGACUUGUAAGGGACAAGGGUACAAAUGACAGUGUCCAUGAAGUUUGGGGACCAUGGGCAUGAGGCCUGAGUUGUUUGGGAGCCAUAGGUUGCUGGACUAUAGUUCUUGGGUGACCUUGCCUCCCUUUGAGCUGGGCUACCUGGGUCCUGGCUUUCCAGAGUCACAUGGGACAAAAGAGUUGGCGGCUGGACACGCUGCUUGGACAAGUCAGUGGCCUGGCUAAAGGCUUAGUGAAAAGUCAGUGGUUUAGAGGUAAGACUUUGUCUUGUGCUGGCAAUGCAGCUCAGCUGACGGAGUGCUUGUCUAGCAUUGCCUGAAGCCCUGGGUUCAGCUCCAACACUGCAUAAACUAGCAAGGUAUUACCUGCCCGUAAUCCCUGCUCUCAGGAGACUGAGGUAAGGCAACAAGAAGUUCAAGACCAUCCUUGGUUACAGAAGGACUUAGGGGACAGCCUGAGCUACAUGAGACAUGUGGGGUCUGGGGUCUUAAGUCUUAGGUAAAAAGUCAGAGGUGAUCAAUAUCAGAGCCAUUUUGGCCUGGCUCCUGGUCGAUCCCUCCUUCUUUCAGUGGACACAUUAGGUUGGAAGCACCAGCAAUAGUCCAGAGCCCUGGGUUGCUGUGGUUCACUUGCAUCUGUAAGCCUAGAUCAAAGCUCAGUAUACGUAUUGAUCACCUGAGAGAUUCUGAGAGUAAUACUUAGAGACCAUGGAGUGUAAUAAAAGCCAUGGGAACAGGCCUUUCUCUCCCUCCCUCAAGAUGCCUUACUAUACCACACUGAUGGAGCUGUCGUCAUGGACAAUAACAGGUCCUGGACAAGGAGAGACCACAGGAAGUGCAGAGACACAGAGACUUACAGCCCAAGGAGUUGUCCAGGCAGAGAACACUUCAGUGGGCUCGAAUCUGGGUCACACUGGUUCAAAGAACGUGAGACUAAGUCCCCGUUGCUUGUGUUGUGGGUGCAGCCAUUCUUCCCGGUUGUAGAUACGGCCGUGAGCACACAGGAGGGUUUGGAAGGGGUCUCUUCUUUUGCAGGCUUUCUUGGAUUGAAUCUAGAAUCCCCGUGUGUCAAGCAAGUACACAUCUUCUUAUUUUUUAUUCUGAGACAAGUUUCAGUAAAUUGCCCAAGCUGGCUUUGAACUUGUGAUCCUCUCACCUUAGCCUCCUGAGUAGCUGGGAUUAGAUGCCUAGAAAUGAGAUAAAUCUUAGUGGGAGAAAGACCUGCUGGCUUUUGUCAUCUGACCUGCCCAGCGAUUGGUCCAUCCAGGCUCCCUUUUCUUCAUUGUUCUCAACUUGAACUCUGGGACGUACAAGUCACUCUCUCCUGUCUAAGUGUCUCCCGAUAUCCUUUAGUGGUGCGUGUUCCGGGCACUGGAAAGCUCUGAGUUCCUUUCUCCUUCAGUAGUUUUCGUGUGGUGUAGGGAAUCUGCUGGGAAGCCACCUCCUUGGACUCUAAGUGACUGGGAAAAUCACUCAGCUAUUUAUGUGAAGUGCCAUCCCCCUUACCUGACUCUUUGAUCAUCAGAGACAUUAAAGGGAGAUGUUCAAGGUUACAGAGUUUCCAUCUCCUGGGACGGCUGGGUCUGCGGCCUUUCACGGAAAGGUAGGAAGACAGCUCUUACCAGCAAUGGGGCAGGGGGAGUCAGAAGGGGUGAAUCUUUGAUGCAAUGUCACCUUCGAUGCCCCAGAGGGUUGUGAAGGUGAAUGCAUUUAAUGGUCACGAUGAGGUGUAGAUGUUAGAGCGGUAACAUUAACAGUACUAACAUUAAUGUGGCCACUCUAUUAACAUAUGCACAACCCAGAUGCUCUUAUCAAAAUAUACGUUCAUACUACCGUGGGAAUGUCUGAUGACGUACCAUAACACAGACCUCAAAUAUUGAACAACAGAUGCUUAAACUAAAGAGGCAAAUUACUGAGGCUGUGAGUUUGAGAAACAGUAAAAUUGAGUGACUAAGAAAAAGGCUUCUGGAGCCAGUUAAAUUUGAGUCAAAAUUUCAGCUCUGCACUUUCUCAUGGAGUGCAUGACAGUGGGUCAGAGUCUUACCUUGCCUCAUAGAAUCAUUGUGUGCCUUUUAGAAGCAAAGUAAGGGGAAAGUGCCUGGCACAUAGUAGGUUUGCUCAACAUUCUGGUGAACAAGAUCUGGAGGGGGAUAGGCUAGAGGAAGCCUCUCUUGGGAUCCUGAACCUCACCUGCAGUGUCCCUGGCUUCACCUCUGUUCAUCCUAUUAAAGCACUGACUACCUACUAUGUGCUGGUA
Rattus norvegicus (Norway rat) is the source of this 9581-nucleotide long non-coding RNA. RefSeq lists it as uncharacterized. The record is from RefSeq and is a predicted model, not a curated record. Lineage: Eukaryota; Metazoa; Chordata; Mammalia; Rodentia; Muridae.